GUCGGGAAGAGGAAGAAUGAGAGGGUCCAAGAGUAAUAUGAAUCGGAACAUCGAGGAAAGCGUGAGCUUUGUAGAUUUCCUAUGCUUACAAUGGAGAGAUCUUGCUCUGUGUUUUUCCGAUGCCUCCCAUUCGUAUUGUUCUUGGGUGCUCCUUCCCCUUCCUUUUGGCU
Molecule: non-coding RNA, 170 nt
Organism: Triticum aestivum (bread wheat)
Lineage: Eukaryota; Viridiplantae; Streptophyta; Magnoliopsida; Poales; Poaceae
Source: Rfam